This 503-nucleotide ribosomal RNA is filed under the name uncultured bacterium. RNAcentral describes it as "partial 16S ribosomal RNA". It matches the Rfam family "Bacterial small subunit ribosomal RNA", at positions 30 to 523 of the family's 1533-position model. The record is from RNAcentral.
AUUGAACGCUGGCGGCAGGCUUAACACAUGCAAGUCGAGCGGGGUGAUGGUGCUUGCACUAUCACUUAGCGGCGGACGGGUGAGUAAUGCUUAGGAAUCUGCCUAUUAGUGGGGGACAACAUCUCGAAAGGGAUGCUAAUACCGCAUACGUCCUACGGGAGAAAGCAGGGGAUCACUUGUGACCUUGCGCUAAUAGAUGAGCCUAAGUCGGAUUAGCUAGUUGGUGGGGUAAAGGCCUACCAAGGCGACGAUCUGUAGCGGGUCUGAGAGGAUGACCCGCCACACUGGGACUGGGACACGGCCCAGACUCCUACGGGAGGCAGCAGUGGGGAAUAUUGGACAAUGGGGGGAACCCUGAUCUAGCCAUGCCGCGUGUGUGAAGAAGGCCUUAUGGUUGUAAAGCACUUUAAGCGAGGAGGAGGCUCUUUUGGUUAAUACCCAAGAUGAGUGGACGUUACUCGCAGAAUAAGCACCGGCUAACUCUGUGCCAGCAGCCGCCGUAA